UUUAAUUAUUUACAAAAAGAAUAAUCUUACUAGGGUUUAACAUAUCUCUUAAUCCACUUCGAAAGAGGAAUCUUCUUUAGAAAUGCAAGCAUAGGUAGUGCAUAAUUACCAUGAGCUCAUGCCAUGAGGUGUAAAUUUUAGUCUGGUAAUGAGCGCAACCCUCGUGUUUAGUAAUUGCAAGUCUUUAGUCUUAAUCCCCGUAUA
RNAcentral lists this ribosomal RNA (204 nucleotides) under Olea europaea subsp. europaea. RNAcentral describes it as "SSU_rRNA_bacteria". It matches the Rfam family "Bacterial small subunit ribosomal RNA", at positions 945 to 1159 of the family's 1533-position model. Lineage: Eukaryota; Viridiplantae; Streptophyta; Magnoliopsida; Lamiales; Oleaceae. The record is from RNAcentral.